This 449-nucleotide ribosomal RNA is filed under the name uncultured soil bacterium. RNAcentral's name for it is "bacterial SSU rRNA". It matches the Rfam family "Bacterial small subunit ribosomal RNA", at positions 947 to 1384 of the family's 1533-position model. The record is from RNAcentral.
AAAUUCGAUUAACGGAAGACCUUUACCCAGGUUUGACCAGCGAGUGACAAACUACGAAAGUGGUCUUCCGCAAGGACACUCGUAGAGGUGCUGCAUGGCUGUCGUCAGCUCGUGUCGUGAGAUGUUGGGUUAAGUCCCGCAACGAGCGCAACCCUUGUCUUCUGUUGCCAUCAAGUUAAGUUGGGCACUCUGGAGAGACUGCCGGUGAUAAACCGGAGGAAGGUGGGGAUGACGUCAAGUCAGCAUGGCCUUUAUGUCUGGGGCUACACACGUGCUACAAUGGCCGGCACAAACCGUCGCAAAACCGCGAGGUGGAGCUAAUCGGAUAAAGUCGGUCUCAGUUCGGAUAGCAGGCUGCAACUCGCCUGCUUGAAGUUGGAAUCGCUAGUAAUCGCGGAUCAGCACGCCGCGGUGAAUACGUUCCCGGGCCUUGUCACACCGAAUCACUA